This 422-nucleotide RNase P RNA is filed under the name Candidatus Spechtbacteria bacterium RIFCSPHIGHO2_01_FULL_38_11. Its description in RNAcentral is "RNase P RNA component class A". It matches the Rfam family "Bacterial RNase P class A". Rfam says of the family: Ribonuclease P (RNase P) is a ubiquitous endoribonuclease, found in archaea, bacteria and eukarya as well as chloroplasts and mitochondria. Its best characterised activity is the generation of mature 5'-ends of tRNAs by cleaving the 5'-leader elements of precursor-tRNAs. Cellular RNase Ps are ribonucleoproteins. The record is from RNAcentral. Lineage: Bacteria; Candidatus Spechtiibacteriota.
AGGCUACGGCAGAUGCUCAAAAUUAUAACCUCGUUUCACUUGGAUAAUUUUGGCAGAGGAAAGUCCGAACACCGUUCGCACGUUGCGAUCAUAAGUGGUCGGUAACACCGACCAGUCCAAUGGUGACAUUGAACUAGGGAAAGUGCCACAGAAACCAUACAGCAACGCCUCUUCCGCCAUCCGCCAACUGGCGGAGGCGGACAUGCAACGCUUAAGUUGAAAAGUGUCUGUAAAACAGACUCUGCGAUAUGGCGACAUACCGCGGUGACAAACCCCACUUGGUGCAAGGCCGUGCCCCAAUACAUAUUGGGUAGUGCCGCUUGAGACAUUGUGGCAACAUAAUGUCCAGAUAAAUAGCUCUCGCCAUUUUUGUCCAAAUCUAUGAUUUGGUUACAAAAUUGAGCGUUCGCCGUAGCUUUAUG